This 3087-nucleotide long non-coding RNA is filed under the name Canis lupus familiaris (dog). RNAcentral describes it as "lncRNA (ENSCAFG00000053784.1, ENSCAFG00845020479.1)". Lineage: Eukaryota; Metazoa; Chordata; Mammalia; Carnivora; Canidae. The record is from RNAcentral.
UUUGUGUGUUUACAUUUAAAGUGCACUUCUUAUAGGCAGGAAAUAAUUAGAUCUUCCUCUUUCUCUCUCUUUUUUAAGUCAAAGCUGACAAUCUCUACCUUUCAAUUGGGGUGUUUGAUCAUUUAUGUUUAAUGUGAUUAAUGAUAUAAUGAGAUUUUUUUUUGAUAUAAUGAGAUUUAAGUCUAUCAUCUUACUGUUUUGUUUUUGUCCCAUCUGUACUGUUUCUUUAUCCCUUUGUGUGCCUAUUUUGGAAUAAUUUUUAUGAUUCCAUUUUAAUUUAUUUUAUAAAUAAUUAUAACUGUUUUUGUGUUAUUUGGUGGUUGUUUAGUGUUUAUAGCAUAUAUAUAUUUAACUUACCUUCAAGUCUGUAAUAUUGUGAGUUUUUAGUAAGUAAUAUAUUGUUAGCCUUCACCCCCAUUUCUGGCACAGAACUAAAACCCUUAGAAUUUCCUAAAUAGGGGAUCCCUGGGUGGCUCAGCAGUUUAGCACCUGCCUUUGAUCACGCCCAGGGCAUGAUCUUGGAGAUCCAGGAUCCAGUCCCAUGUCGGGCUCCCUGCAUGGAGCCUGCUUCUCCCUCGCCUGCGUCUCUGCCUCUCUUUCCCUCUCUCUCUCUCUCUGUGUGUGUCUGUGAUGAAUAAAUAAAUACAAUCUUUAAAAAAAAAAAAAGAAUUUCCUAAAUAAUGAGAGUGAUCAAAGUUUGUGAUGUUAAUGAGGCUGAUCUUUGGAAAUCCCCUAAAUCAUCAAAGAAUAGGGACUGAUUCCCUGUAGAGUCACCUAUGUGAUUAGAUGGUUGGAACAUUCAGUCUUACUUCCCUACCUCCACAGGGGAGAGGGGCUGGAAAUUAAAUCAAGUCACCAGUGGGCAAUGAUUCAAUCAAUCGUGCAUAUGUAAUGAAACCUCCAUUAAAAAGAAGAAAAGAAAAGGAUGGGGUUUAGAGAGUUUCCAGGUUGGUGAACAUGUUGAGAUUCAGGGAGAGUAGGGUGCCUGGAGAGGGCAUAAAACUCUUCACCUUUUCCCCAUACCUUGCCUAUUUCAUCUCUUCCAUAUGGCUGUUCGUAAGUUAUAUCCUUUUAUUUUUUUAUAAUUAAAAAAAAAUAUUUUAUUUUACUUAUUCAUGAGAGAUAUAUAUAUAUAGAGAGAGAGAGGCAGAGACACAGGCAGAGGGAGAAGCAGGCUCCAUGCAGGGAGCCUGACGUGGGACUCAAUCCUGGGUCUCCAGGAUCAUGCCCCUGGCCAAAGGCAGCACUAAACCGCUGAGCCACCUGGGCUGCCCAAAGUUAUAUCCUUUUAUAAUAAACUCAUAAUCUGGUAAGUAAAUAUUUCUCUGAAUCCUAUGAACCACUCGAACAAAUUAAUUAAACUGAAGAAGGGAAUCACUGGAACCUCCAAUCUAUGGUCAGUUGAACAGAAGUGCAGGUGGUAACCUGGGCUUGUGAGUGGCAUCAGCAGUAUGUUAGGGGGCAGUCUUGUAGGACUGAACCCUUUACCUGUGAGAUAUGACUUUCUCCAUGUAGACAGUGUCAGAAUUGAAUUGUAGGACAUCCAACUGGUGUUGGAGAAGUUCUUGGUGAUAUGGGAAAACUCUACACGUACACAUUGAAAUUGGGUCCAGAAUCAGUAACGUCAAAUAAAAUGGUAUAAGAACCUUACAAUAACAUACCGCUAUUUCCCCACCACCACAAAAUAUAAUACUUUGAAAAGAUUUAAGUCAUUUUAAAAGAUUUUGCAUAUCUACUCACGUAGCUAAUCUUUUCAAUGUUCUUCACUCCUUUGUAUAGAUCUAUAUUUUGAUCCAUGAGUUUUUUCUUCUUAUUUAACAUUUCUUAUUGUGUGGGUCUGCUAGUAUUGAAUUCGUUCAGAUUUUCUAAAGAUUGGUUUUUUAAAAAAGUAUUUUGUCUUCAUUUUUAAAAGAUAUCAUAUUAGUGUUCUAGGGCUGCCAUCACAAAAUACCCAGACUGGGUUUCUUAAACAAAUAUUUAUUUUCCCUGAGUUUUAGAGGCUGGAAGUUUGAGAUCAAGGUAUUCACAGGUUAGGUUUCUUCUGAAACCUCUCUCUUUGGCGUGAGGAUGGCUGCCUUCUCACUAUGUCCUUGUAGUUAUCUCAGACUGCAUCUGUGUCUUAAUCUCUUAUUAUAAGGACACUAAUCAUGUUGGAUUAGGAUCCACACAUAUGAUCUUAUUUUAUCUUAAUUAUCUCUUAAAAGACCUAUCUCCAAAUACAAUGACAUUCUGAGCUAGUGAGAGAUUAGGAUUUCAGCAUAUGAAUAGGGGGGCACCAUUCAGCCCCAAACAGAUAAUUUUUCCAGGUGUAGAAUAACAAUUUGCCUUCAGAACUCUGAAGGUGUUGCUACACUAUCAUCACACUUGUAUUAUUUACCAUAAGAAAUAUGUUGCCACCCUUAAUUUUGUUCCUCUGAAUAUAUUUAAUCUUUUAUUUCUCUGGCUGCUUUUAAGAUUUUUUCUUUAUCCAAGAUUUUGGGCAAUUUUGUUAUGAUUUGUUUUGGUGUUAUCUUCAUGUUUCUUGUUCUUUGAUUCAUUGAGCUUCUUGGACUUGUCUAAAGGGUUAAUCAUUUAGGUCUGAAGUAGAAGUGACCUUUUCUUAGGACUCUUCAUAAAUACAGAAUUAUGGCUCAAAAGAUUUGACAAUUUAAAUUUUGGGACUCCUGAGUGUCUGCCUUUGGCACAAGGUGUGAUCCCAGGUUCAGGGAUCAAGUCCCAGGAUCAAGUCCCAUAUCAGACUCCCUGGGAGGAGCCUGUUUCUCCCUCUGUCUAUGUCUCUGCCUCCCUGUGUCUCUCUUGAAUAAAUAAAUAAAAUCUUAAAAAAAAAAAAAAUUCAAAUUUUGAUGCAUUUUGCCAAUUUACCUUUCAUAAAAUGUCAACCAGUUUACAUUCCCACCAGAAGACAGUAUGAUAUUCUUUUUAAUUAUUGUCAAUCUAAAUGGUUUUUUAUAAGUUUUAUUUUUUUAAUUUGCAUUUAUUUAAUUACCUAUGAAAUUAAGCCUUUGUUCAUGUUAAUUGAUCAUGUGUUCUUACUUUUCUUCAUUAAUUUAUUUUAUUAUUUUUUUUUUAAUUUUUAUUUAUUUGUGA